CCUACGGGAGGCUGCAGUGGGGAAUAUUGCGCAAUGGGCGAAAGCCUGACGCAGCGACGCCGCGUGAGGGAUGAAGGUCUUCGGAUCGUAAACCUCUGUCAGCAGGGAAGAACGGUCCAUGUGCUAAUCACCAGUGAAUUGACGUUACCUGCAAAGGCAGCACCGGCUAACUCCGUGCCAGCAGCCGCGGUAAUACGGAGGGUGCGAGCGUUAAUCGGAAUUACUGGGCGUAAAGCGCUCGUAGGCGGUAGGUUAAGUCAAGUGUGAAAUCCCCGGGCUUAACGUGGGAACUGCCUUUGAAACUGGUCAGCUGGAGUGUGGGAGAGGGGAGUGGAAUUCCAGGUGUAGCAGUGAAAUGCGUAGAGAUCUGGAGGAACACCAGUGGCGAAGGCGACCACCUGGAAAAAGACUGACGCUGAGGUGCGAAAGCGUGGGGAGCAAACAGGAUUAGAUACCCCGGUAGUC
Molecule: ribosomal RNA, 465 nt
Filed under: uncultured bacterium
Lineage: Bacteria
Description: partial 16S ribosomal RNA
Rfam family: Bacterial small subunit ribosomal RNA
Source: RNAcentral